This 513-nucleotide ribosomal RNA is filed under the name uncultured bacterium. RNAcentral describes it as "bacterial SSU rRNA". It matches the Rfam family "Bacterial small subunit ribosomal RNA", at positions 8 to 557 of the family's 1533-position model. The record is from RNAcentral.
AGGGUUUGAUCAUGGCUCAGAACGAACGCUGGCGGCAGGCCUAACACAUGCAAGUCGGACGAGAAGGUUCCUUCGGGAACUGGAGAGUGGCGCACGGGUGAGUAACGCGUGGGGACCUACCUCUUAGUGGGGGAUAACGGUUGGAAACGACCGCUAAUACCGCAUACGCCCUUCGGGGGAAAGAUUUAUCGCUAAGAGAUGGACCCGCGUUGGAUUAGAUAGUUGGUGAGGUAACGGCUCACCAAGUCAGCGAUCCAUAGCUGGUUUGAGAGGAUGAUCAGCCACACUGGGACUGAGACACGGCCCAGACUCCUACGGGAGGCAGCAGUGGGGAAUAUUGGACAAUGGGGGCAACCCUGAUCCAGCCAUGCCGCGUGAGUGAAGAAGGCCUUCGGGUUGUAAAGCUCUUUCAGAUGCGAAGAUGAUGACGGUAACAUCAGAAGAAGCCCCGGCUAAUUUCGUGCCAGCAGCCGCGGUAAUACGAAAGGGGCUAGCGUUGUUCGGAUUUACUGG